Molecule: unclassified non-coding RNA, 333 nt
Filed under: uncultured fungus
Lineage: Eukaryota; Fungi
Description: partial contains small subunit ribosomal RNA, internal transcribed spacer 1, and 5.8S ribosomal RNA
Rfam family: Eukaryotic small subunit ribosomal RNA (bases 1-73)
Source: RNAcentral
GCAAACUUGGUCAUUUAGAGGAAGUAAAAGUCGUAACAAGGUUUCCGUAGGUGAACCUGCGGAAGGAUCAUUAAUUAUUCUCGAAAGUAAAGGCGGACGGGUGGAGGCAUGGGUAGCCGUGCAUCUCCCACGUCUCUUUACUCUUCAUGAACAUCCCUUCUGUGUAUGACACUUUGGUUGCUUCCCGCAUGGCGUGGCCUGUAAGGGCUACACGGCGGGGAGGAUAUCAUAAACUCUGGUUGUUGUGUUGUUAGUCUGAGUGGUAAACACAUUAAACAAGUUAAAACUUUCAACAACGGAUCUCUUGGUUCUCGCAUCGAUGAAGAACGCAGC